This 1762-nucleotide long non-coding RNA is filed under the name Nicotiana benthamiana. RNAcentral's name for it is "long non-coding RNA (NBEN_LNC004054)". Lineage: Eukaryota; Viridiplantae; Streptophyta; Magnoliopsida; Solanales; Solanaceae. The record is from RNAcentral.
GAGGGGGAGGGGGAGCUUAAAACUUCGAAUUUGACUCACCCGCUCACCCUUAUGGAAGAAAUGAGUAUAUAUGCAUUAUACAUAGACACACUGCGCAUCCAUAAUCUAUGACUGGUUUUUGUUUACUUAACGUUGAAUUAUCUUAGUAUUGAUGCGGUACUUUGAUUGAGAAUUGAUAUUGUUUUGGAUCAGUGCACUACUGCUGUACUGCAUUUGCCUAUAAGCUUAGACUAUUGCAGUACUUAAGUAGACAUUGGAAGUGCUUGUGUAUUAUAUAGAUAAAAAUGUUAGGCCAAGUACUUGCCCGAGCUAUUUUGUGUCUUCUUUGUGGCUCAUGAUUUCCUUUGGGUAUCUGAUGAGGAGGAAUUGAAGGUCACAACCUGCUGAUGGAUAAAAGAGAGACUAGUCAAUCUUUCGUUUCCCUUGAAUUGUAAUUUUUUUUAUGGCAAUGGUCACGUAAUACUGAUACAUAUUUGCAUAUGUUGAUAUAAACAUUAUUAGUCAGGAAAACAUUGAGCGGAGAAAUGUUAUAGAGAGAAGGAGUAAUUACUAUGUCCUUGUGGACUUACCUCCAGCUUGAGUUCAAGUUUGGUUUUGUUAGACCUUCACUUAGUUCUUAAAAAUAUGAAUACCGCCAAAUUGUUUUCAUUUUUUACUGCUACAUAGGUGUUGAGGCAGAGGGAAGAGUAUGUCCUGAAAUUUUCAGUUAUACAUUUUUAAAGAAAAAGAACCUGCUUACUUAAAUACGAUAGUCUAUGACUUAUUGGUCAUCUUGAUUCUUAAUUAUGCAAUUUACUCUUUACGUGCAUCAAAAACUAAGAAAGGAGAAUGAAGAAAGCCUUGGUCACAUUUCAUGGACGUGAUUUCUAUUUUUAUCUCACCAGAUGUCUUCAAUUUUCAGACAUUCCCAAGUCAGCCCUUUCCUGCAUCUUAUUGUAGGGGAAAAGCAAAAAAAAAAAAAAAAAAAAAAUCAUUCCCAAGUCAGCGCUUUUCUGCAUCUUAUUGCAGGGGAAAAAGCAAAAAAACAAGUUUAGGUUAAUUCCUUCUGAGAAGAUGGUUGGUUUUCCAGGAUACGGUGCCCUUGUCCCCAAGACUAAGAAUCUGGUUAUGGCUGGAGGUUUGUCAGCAUUUGUUUUUGGUGUGUAUUACUAUACUAUGAGAGCUGUUGGAGGCUCAGAUGAACUUCAGGUAGCCAUUGAUAAGUUUGAAGAGGCAAAACACAACAGUGAGUCUGAAGCAAGUUUGGCACCCAAGUCCUGAUUGUGUCCAAUAUGAAGGUAAUGUAGCAAUUAGGAAUAAGUGUUGGAUGUUUGUGAAACAGGACUUCGAUCAUCUUACGCUUGUUGAAUUACUUCUCAUGAUUUCUGGAUAUAUAUACUUUGCUGUAAAGAUAUUAACAUACUGUUUCUUUUCAAACCUGAUAGUGUCCAAUAUGAAGGUAAUUUAGCAAAUAGGAAAAAGCGUUGGAUGAUUGUGAAAGAGUAGAACAGGACUUAAAUAAUGUUACGCUUGUUUGAAUAACUUCUCCUGUUUCUUAUGCUUUCCAGAUAUAUACUUUGCUGUAAAGAUAUCAAAAUACUGUAUUUCUUUUCAAGGUUUCUCGUUAUGAUGAAUUUUAUUUCUCAAAUUUCGUCAUCUUCAGACUACAUUCAGCAUGUUUAUUUUAUUUCCUUAUCACAAGGACACCAAUUAUCAUCUCUUUGGAAUGGGAAUUAAGGGGGAUUUGAACCCUAUUUUUCUGUAGCAAAGGCCCUAGUUAAUU